UACAUACCUGUACCAUGGGUAAACGUGCAUCACACAACGAGGACGUAAAUAAAAGGUGAGGAAGGCCCUAUGAAAGUAGCUUGCAAUUUAUUUUAUUAAAAAAAAUAAUUUCCAUGUAAUAUGUUUUCAGAUAGCUGCAUAGUUGUGUGUAGGUGUUCAUACUCUGUUAUCUUAGCCAAAUACACUAGACAAUAACUCAUUCUGUAAACUAAACGAUAAAAUUAAGAAUCCUCUGACUAUAAAAGAAUAUCGACAAAAGAACAAUAUCAGCAUCGUCAUAAAGAAUUAGUACAAUGUGGUGUUUGGGCAGGGAAAGUUACCCAACAUAUCACAAUUGCCUACAAUGGUUACUUACCGGUGCAUAUACAUCAAGAUUAUGGUAACAAAAUCAAAUAAAUCUUUUUUUUCCAAUUCUUAACUGUGUUAUUGUAUGCAUCACUAUAAUUACUGCACAAAGGAAAAUAUUUAAUAUGUAUAGGGUCUUAUUUUUUCAUCCACUCUACUUUUACCAUAGUGGCCCCCCAUACAGUAGCGAAAUAAAUAUAACAUUGUCCUUAUUUUCUGCUUGCUUUGUUAUCUUUUGAACUUACAUGCAAAUACUUUUCUAGAGACAUUUGACAAAGGCUGGUGGUACAAUUAGUGCAUGGGAAGUGUUAAAGUACCAUCAUCUGAAAUAGUUUUAUGUGGUAAAUUGGCUGGCUUUAAACUUGUCCCAAAUAGGACGUGUUCUCAGGAUGACCAGAAGUUAAUAUUCAGUGCAUCUCCCAAAUGUGGCCUUUUAGCCCCCAACAAGCAAGCCCCUCAAAAGAUGUUGCUGAACGCAUAUUGGGGUGUUUGGCAGUAACAUCUACCGGGAUUUGUGAAUUCAUACCUGAUAUACAAUCUGUGUGGGGAACAAAAAUACAAAUAAAAUUACAACCGCAAACUUUGACAAAGGCUGGUGGUAGAAUUAGUGCAUGGAAAGGGUUGAAAUGCUCUGGGGUGUCUGGCUUUCAAAAAUAUACAGUUUGAUGAGGUAAAUUAAAAUGUCAAGCUUCAAAGAUGUCCCAAAUAGGAGAAGAGGUGCAGGAUAACAGAUUUGGGGGAAAAAUGGUUUCGAAAUAGCAGUACACUACUUUUAUUUGUUGCCUAUAAAUUGCAAAUAAAAAUCAUAAAAACA
Spea bombifrons (plains spadefoot toad) is the source of this 1159-nucleotide long non-coding RNA. RefSeq lists it as uncharacterized. The transcript is spliced from 2 exons. The record is from RefSeq and is a predicted model, not a curated record. Lineage: Eukaryota; Metazoa; Chordata; Amphibia; Anura; Pelobatidae.